GAUCUCCUGCUCGGUGCGUGAUGGGCUCUUUUAAACCCACAUUUCUAAAACGGGACACCCCCUCACAGCGUGGCUUGCAGGCCUCCCGGCUGCCCCUGCGGCAUGCUGGAAGUUGGAAGCAGUAAAGCGCUGUGGAGGUGACCCACCUGCCAGUCGUGCAGGUUUUAAACGGGCCCACACGGCCAGAGCGGGGUAUAA
RNAcentral lists this non-coding RNA (198 nucleotides) under Lawsonibacter asaccharolyticus. RNAcentral's name for it is "6S RNA". It matches the Rfam family "6S / SsrS RNA". From Rfam's summary of the family: E. coli 6S RNA was the first non coding RNA to be sequenced, but its function was unknown until recently. It consists of 184 nucleotides that fold into an extended hairpin structure with a large single-stranded internal bulge. Lineage: Bacteria; Bacillati; Bacillota; Clostridia; Eubacteriales; Oscillospiraceae. The record is from RNAcentral. RNAcentral also lists the same sequence under 5 other names.